Molecule: transfer RNA, 73 nt
Filed under: Thermodesulfovibrio yellowstonii
Lineage: Bacteria; Pseudomonadati; Nitrospirota; Thermodesulfovibrionia; Thermodesulfovibrionales; Thermodesulfovibrionaceae
Also listed under: 5 other names
Description: tRNA-Arg
Rfam family: tRNA
About the family: Transfer RNA (tRNA) molecules are approximately 80 nucleotides in length. Their secondary structure includes four short double-helical elements and three loops (D, anti-codon, and T loops).
Source: RNAcentral
GCCCCUGUAGCUCAAUGGACAGAGCACCGGACUUCUAAUCCGUUGGUUGUGAGUUCGAGUCUCACCAGGGGCG